Molecule: ribosomal RNA, 253 nt
Filed under: uncultured bacterium
Lineage: Bacteria
Description: partial 16S ribosomal RNA
Rfam family: Bacterial small subunit ribosomal RNA
Source: RNAcentral
UACGUAGGGGGCAAGCGUUGUCCGGAAUCAUUGGGCGUAAAGAGCGUGUAGGCGGUUCAGUAAGUCUGCUGUGAAAGUCCAGGGCUCAACCCUGGGAUGCCGGUGGAUACUGCCGGACUAGAGUUCGGAAGAGGCGAGUGGAAUUCCCGGUGUAGCGGUGAAAUGCGCAGAUAUCGGGAGGAACACCUAUGGCGAAGGCAGCUCGCUGGGACGUUACUGACGCUGAGACGCGAAAGCGUGGGGAGCAAACAGG